RNAcentral lists this ribosomal RNA (254 nucleotides) under uncultured bacterium. RNAcentral's name for it is "partial 16S ribosomal RNA". It matches the Rfam family "Bacterial small subunit ribosomal RNA", at positions 524 to 776 of the family's 1533-position model. The record is from RNAcentral.
UACGUAGGGUGCGAGCGUUGUCCGGAAUUAUUGGGCGUAAAGAGCUCGUAGGCGGUGUGUCACGUCGUUCGUGAAAACCUGCAGCUUAACUGUGGGCGUGCGGUCGAUACGGGCAUCACUGGAGUUCGGCAGGGGAGACUGGAAUUCCUGGUGUAGCGGUGAAAUGCGCAGAUAUCAGGAGGAACACCGAUGGCGAAGGCAGAUCUCUGGGCCGUAACUGACGCUGAGGAGCGAAAGCGUGGGGAGCGAACAGG